GUGUCAGCAGCCGCGGUAAUACGGGGGGGGCAAGCGUUGUUCGGAAUUACUGGGCGUAAAGGGCGCGUAGGCGGCCUUCUAAGUCAGACGUGAAAUCCCUCGGCUUAACCGGGGAACUGCGUCUGAUACUGGAGGGCUUGGAUCCGGGAGAGGGAUGCGGAAUUCCAGGUGUAGCGGUGAAAUGCGUAGAUAUCUGGAGGAACACCGGUGGCGAAGGCGGCAUCCUGGACCGGCAUCGACGCUGAGGCGCGAAAGCCAGGGGAGCAAACGGGAUUAGAUACCCCAGUAGUCC
This 292-nucleotide ribosomal RNA is filed under the name uncultured bacterium. RNAcentral describes it as "partial 16S ribosomal RNA". It matches the Rfam family "Bacterial small subunit ribosomal RNA", at positions 505 to 796 of the family's 1533-position model. The record is from RNAcentral.